CCUAUUUAUCUGGAAUGGCUUGCUCUGAUUCGGGUCAAGUUUUCAUUCAUUUGGUCGAAUUACCUUGUGAAUAGUGCAUUUGCUGAAGUUGAUGAUGUACUCCUCAUUGGGUUAUUAUGAAAAUUAUGAUUAAUUUUAACAUAAUUAGUUAGGAGUAAAAUUGCCUCCAUAACUACUCCGUUCUUUUCUUCGCAUGAAGGAUAACCCAAUUCGUCAAAAUAUUUUUGACGUAUGAACCAUGGAUCAUUUAGAUUUUGAACAUCAUUAUGAUCAAGGUACAUAAUCACCUGUUCAGAUUGCUUCUCCAAAUAAGUACUGUUUAGGAUAUUUUUCUGUGGUACUUCGUUCAUCAUAGGGUUAGAUGAUGAAGUUGCCUGAGAAAACAUUUCUUUCUUUACAGCAUUAAUUUGCUAUUGUUGGUCAACCGUCUUGUCCUCUUUCAGAUAGAUUGCUAGAUCCACCAUUUGUGGAUAUCUAAUGGAAAGUGCAUUGGCACUACGUUCUC
RNAcentral lists this long non-coding RNA (505 nucleotides) under Phoenix dactylifera (date palm). RNAcentral describes it as "long non-coding RNA (PDAC_LNC004186)". The record is from RNAcentral. Lineage: Eukaryota; Viridiplantae; Streptophyta; Magnoliopsida; Arecales; Arecaceae.